UGGGGUGUGGCUCAGCGGUAGAGCACUUGCCUCACAUGUGUGAGGCGCUGGGUUUGAUCCUCAGCUCCACAU
This is a non-coding RNA of Ictidomys tridecemlineatus (thirteen-lined ground squirrel), 72 nucleotides long. Lineage: Eukaryota; Metazoa; Chordata; Mammalia; Rodentia; Sciuridae. The record is from Rfam.